Molecule: ribosomal RNA, 309 nt
Filed under: uncultured bacterium
Lineage: Bacteria
Description: bacterial SSU rRNA
Rfam family: Bacterial small subunit ribosomal RNA
Source: RNAcentral
GACGAACGCUGGCGGCGCGCCUAACACAUGCAAGUCGAACGAGCGAGAGAGAGCUUGCUUUCUCGAGCGAGUGGCGAACGGGUGAGUAACGCGUGAGGAACCUGCCUCAAAGAGGGGGACAACAGUUGGAAACGACUGCUAAUACCGCAUAAGCGCACAGGACCGCAUGGUCUGGUGUGAAAAACUCCGGUGGUAUACGAUGGACCCGCGUCUGAUUAGCUAGUUGGUGAGGUAACGGCCCACCAAGGCGACGAUCAGUAGCCGGCCUGAGAGGGUGAACGGCCACAUUGGGACUGAGACACGGCCCAA